Long non-coding RNA from Numida meleagris (helmeted guineafowl), 1080 nucleotides. NCBI's taxonomy places the organism in Eukaryota, Metazoa, Chordata, Aves, Galliformes, Numididae. The record is from Ensembl.
GGGGCGCGGGGGGAGGCGCCGUCCGGGAGCGGGCGGGAGCGAUCCGCCGCACCGAGCUGCCGCCGCGGGAGGGCUCGGGGUUUCAAAAUGGCGCCCAUUGCCGGUCGGCCUCAGCCGGCAGUGCAGUGUUCCACACGGUGCCGUUCCGCAGGUGCCUCACCGCGGGGCGGAACGGACGCGGCUGAGGAGAGCAGCCCCGGGUGGGCCGCGGCCCCGCUGUCACCUCAUCCCAUCGCUGUCACCUGGGGCAGGGGCCGACCCCCGCCUCGCUACAGCUUCAUUUUAGGGAGCAGCAGACGAAUUUGUGUGUGGCUGGCUGCGUGUUUUUUUCUUUUUCCCCCCCAUUUUUGUGCACUGAUGUGCUUUUGGAAUGAAUUAGUCGCCUUUAAACUCCACAAACUCCUGUAAAUCAAUGGGUGUAUGUAGUUUGAGUAAGCUGAAAUCAAAAUAGCUAAUAAUUAAGUUAGCCUUCCGAAAUGGCUGUGUGUAUCUGUUCAUUUUCUAAUGGACAAAAAGGAGAGUCGACCUCUGCCCCAGGUAACAACAGUAGGACAAGAGGUCAUGGCCUCACGUUGUGCCAGGGAGCAUCAGGCUGGGUGUCAGAGCAAUGUCUCCUCCAGAGAGCGGCCAGGCGCUGGCACAGCUGCCCAGGGCUGGGGAGUCCCCGUCCCUGGAGGUGUUCAGACCUGGGGGGAUGUGGCACUGAGGGAUGUGGGCAGGGGGUACGGGGGGGAGGUGGGGUUGGAGGUCUCAGAGGGCUUUUCCAGCUUUAACGCCUCUGUUGAAUCUAUGAUCCCAACAAAUGUGUUUUUAUGAGCAGAAUUUUUUUUUUUUUCAUUGUUGGAUUACUCUGAAACACUUAAAUUUGUAUACAGAAUGCACUUGUUCCCCAUUAUAUUCGAAGAACGGUUUAAUGAAAAUCAAGGAACUAAUUAGUGUUUACAAACUCUCUAAAGUUUUGAGCUCAAAUUCAAAAGGAUGCGUUGACAGAAGGAGAUUCAGACAGCUGUGAUCUAUUUGCUAUGAUCUGUUUGUUUUGCAGCCAAUAAACCUGUUUAAAGCUGUUGUACUCUUGCGUGG